GAUGAAGAACGUAGCGAAAUGCGAUACUUGGUGUGAAUUGCAGAAUCCCGUGAACCAUCGAGUCUUUGAACGCAAGUUGCGCCCGAAGCCAUUAGGCCGAGGGCACGCCUGCCUGGGCGUCACACGUCGUUGCCCCCCCAUCUACUCCUUCGGGAUUGCGGGGGGCGGGUGAUGGCCUCCCGUGCGCCUCGCCGCGCGGUUGGCAUAAAUGCCAAGUCCUCGGCGACGCACGCCACGACAAUCGGUGGUUGCGAAACCUCGGUUGCCCGUCGUGUGCGGUCGUCGCGCAUCGAGGGCUCGAAAAAAUUGCCGGGUUCCGGCUCGGCUUUCAACGCGACCCCAGGUCAGGCGGGGUUACCCGCUGAAUUUAAGCAUAUCAAUAAGCGGAGGA
Molecule: unclassified non-coding RNA, 391 nt
Filed under: soil metagenome
Description: partial contains 5.8S ribosomal RNA, internal transcribed spacer 2, and large subunit ribosomal RNA
Rfam family: 5.8S ribosomal RNA (bases 1-122)
Source: RNAcentral